RNAcentral lists this ribosomal RNA (433 nucleotides) under Gemella haemolysans. RNAcentral describes it as "bacterial SSU rRNA". It matches the Rfam family "Bacterial small subunit ribosomal RNA", at positions 28 to 448 of the family's 1533-position model. The record is from RNAcentral. Lineage: Bacteria; Bacillati; Bacillota; Bacilli; Caryophanales; Gemellaceae.
GACGAACGCUGGCGGCGUGCCUAAUACAUGCAAGUCGAGCGAAGUUUUUCUGGUGCUUGCACCGGAAAAACUUAGCGGCGAACGGGUGAGUAACACGUAAAGAACCUGCCUCAUAGACUGGGACAACUAUUGGAAACGAUAGCUAAUACCGGAUAACAGCAUUAACUGCAUGGUUGAUGUUUAAAAGUUGGUUUUGCUAACACUAUGAGAUGGCUUUGCGGUGCAUUAGCUAGUUGGUGGGGUAAAGGCCUACCAAGGCGACGAUGCAUAGCCGACCUGAGAGGGUGAUCGGCCACACUGGGACUGAGACACGGCCCAGACUCCUACGGGAGGCAGCAGUAGGGAAUCUUCCGCAAUGGGCGAAAGCCUGACGGAGCAACGCCGCGCGAGUGAAGAAGGAUUUCGGUUCGUAAAGCUCUGUUGUUAGGGAAGA